RNAcentral lists this long non-coding RNA (2410 nucleotides) under Taeniopygia guttata (zebra finch). Its description in RNAcentral is "lncRNA (ENSTGUG00000028036.1)". Lineage: Eukaryota; Metazoa; Chordata; Aves; Passeriformes; Estrildidae. The record is from RNAcentral.
UUUUUUUUGUUUUUCGUUUCUUCUGUCAGACCCACUGCCACCUCUGUCCCUAAAAGCCCUCCUCGCCCAGGCCAGCUCAGGGCAGCAUCAGUUCAAGUGACAUUUCCAGCAGCCGUCACCUUGAGCCAUCCGAAGGUGGGGAAAAGAAGAGGGAGACAAAAACUCCUGCUCAGCCCAAACCUUCCUCCCGCUCAAACAGCGUGGAUUUAAACACAACCCCCAUCCCCAAGCUGAAAUGGGAAGGGUCCCGUUUCCCCACGAAGGGGAACAGUUUCAUGUUCGUGGGGGGAUUUUUAAAUUUAAAAAUCGAGGGGGAAAACCCCACAACUUCAUGGCCACUUUUACCCCCUGGAUCUCCCUUUAUCUCGACCGCGGGCCGAGGGGCAGGCAGAGUAUAGAACAGGAUACAGGCUGGAAGAACAUCCUUCCAAUAUUUAUUACUGGCGGACCAUGAAUCGCUUUUCAAUAUACGGGCCACUAACUGUUGAAGGGAUGGGGGAAAAAAAAAAUCUCAUUAACAAGAAAUAUAUAUGUUCUGCUAAAGGAUGUGCUCAUAGGCUGGCAGAGGUACAGCAGGGGCUGCCAGCUCUCCUCAGCUCUCCUCUCAAGUGACCUCCCAGGCCACUGGUCCAGCCUGGAUGUCUGUCCCCGUUCCAGCCGUUUUCCAGCUUAAUCUCGAUAUAUCACGAGCCUAAGGGCGAGAAGGGGCAAUUCCAAUAAAAGGGUGAAAAAUGGAUUUAAAAAAACCCCAUGUAUUUCCAUGUGAUAACUAACUGGGAAAGCCAAAUCCUCUGCCCGGACAGGAGAGGAAAACGAGCCCAGCAGCAGCAUCAACUCCUGAGCACUUUACCUGGAAACUUUGAAGGAGGGCUCUGCAUUAAAAUUUAACCAAUCUAUUCUCUAAUUCUUCACUUUUGCGUUAUUAAUUUAUGACAGAUAAAAGCAUAGCUGAGCCUUUCUCAUUAACUUUUCAAACGCCACUUAAUAUUGUUCCAUUAAAAGAGGUGACUUUAGUAGCCUCUGGAUCGACUUUAAAAGCGAGAGGGAUAAAGACGGAAAAGAUACAUUAAACAGCUUGCUUAAAACUCGUCCUUCCCCCCCAACAAUUCAAAUGACACCACCUCGACUGGUUCAUACUAGCUCCUUGCAGGAGAAAUAUCUUAAUAUUGGGAACGGGAAAGGGGGUGGAGGAGAAAGGCAGAAGAGGGAUAUAUAUCUUUCAACCCCUCCAUCCUCCCGGGCACUUCGGGGAGGGUUGGGGUGAAGGCAUUUCACAGUACGCCCAAGACAUUUCAAUAAAAAUUUAUUGAAACUUCAGUGACUUUUAAAAGGGGGGGGGGGGGGGGAAAUAAAGAAAAAAAAAAUAGCAAGAACUUCUCGACAUUUAUAUAACACAAAAUAUACCUUCAUUUUUUUUUUCCUUUGAACCAGCUCUGAGCACCUGACUUUCAACCCAAGAAAAUAUGCACUCACUCAAACAAAGACAACAAUAAGCACAGUAGUGAAACUCCAUUGCGGGGUUGUUUUCUGAUGCACUGGGGAAACAGGCAAAAAUGAUAGAAAGUACAGAAAAUCCUAGAAUCUUCACCUCUUCUUUUUUUUUCUCUCAAGCCACUGGAGAAGCCUGUUGUCGUGUAUAAACAUCUAUAAUUUUGUGGUUGUUGACAUUUUGAACACUGAAGAAAUCGAGGAUUAAAAGCUACCAUGGCACACUGCUUCGUCUUUUUCUCUCUUUGAAUUUUUUUAAGGUCUUUGAAUAAUUUGGUUUCUUUCUGCUUUGCCUUUUGCACUUGGCUCCUUGACCAAAGGACGAGGUUUUCCUGGGCUGAGCUCUGAUUUAAAAACUGAGCCCUCAUAAAUGGGGGAAUUUCUCCUCUGGGUCGGGAUCUAUGUUUAAAGGAAUUACCAACUUGAAAUGAAAACGACUAAAAAUAAAAACAGAAGGAAAAAAAAGAAGAUCGCUGCAGUCGUAUUUACAGAGAUAUGUACAAUGUCAAUAAAUUAAAGUUUAAUUUUGAGUAUUCAUAUUCCACGUAUUUACAAGAGUUAUCAAAUAAUUACAUAAAUACUUUGUUUUAAUAAUAGUGUCCACUCUUUUCUUCUUCUCAGUAUGUUAAACCUUGUUAUUGCAUAUACAAUUAAAGAGGGAAAGCUGUGAUAAAUCUACAGUCGAGCUACAGAGGUUUUUAGAUAAAAUAAAUUCACUUUUCUUUUCUUUCCAACUACACGUCUUAUUUUUGUUGCUACAAGGGAGGAUGUUUAAGGUAGAGGGACAAAGGUGUUAUUUUUGUUUUUAUUAUUAUUAAUAAUAAUUUUUCCCUGGGAUUUGAAACGAGCAUUAAAAAUAAACAUCAAAACCCCACUGAAAUAAAAAAUACCACCACCCCCCCUCAAAAAAAAAAAAAAAAAA